This 612-nucleotide ribosomal RNA is filed under the name Enterobacter cloacae. Its description in RNAcentral is "bacterial SSU rRNA". It matches the Rfam family "Bacterial small subunit ribosomal RNA", at positions 555 to 1168 of the family's 1533-position model. The record is from RNAcentral. Lineage: Bacteria; Pseudomonadati; Pseudomonadota; Gammaproteobacteria; Enterobacterales; Enterobacteriaceae.
UGGGCGUAAGCGCACGCAGGCGGUCUGUCAAGUCGGAUGUGAAAUCCCCGGGCUCAACCUGGGAACUGCAUUCGAAACUGGCAGGCUAGAGUCUUGUAGAGGGGGGUAGAAUUCCAGGUGUAGCGGUGAAAUGCGUAGAGAUCUGGAGGAAUACCGGUGGCGAAGGCGGCCCCCUGGACAAAGACUGACGCUCAGGUGCGAAAGCGUGGGGAGCAAACAGGAUUAGAUACCCUGGUAGUCCACGCCGUAAACGAUGUCGACUUGGAGGUUGUGCCCUUGAGGCGUGGCUUCCGGAGCUAACGCGUUAAGUCGACCGCCUGGGGAGUACGGCCGCAAGGUUAAAACUCAAAUGAAUUGACGGGGGCCCGCACAAGCGGUGGAGCAUGUGGUUUAAUUCGAUGCAACGCGAAGAACCUUACCUACUCUUGACAUCCAGAGAACUUAGCAGAGAUGCUUUGGUGCCUUCGGGAACUCUGAGACAGGUGCUGCAUGGCUGUCGUCAGCUCGUGUUGUGAAAUGUUGGGUUAAGUCCCGCAACGAGCGCAACCCUUAUCCUUUGUUGCCAGCGGUUAGGCCGGGAACUCAAAGGAGACUGCCAGUGAUAAACUGGAG